RNAcentral lists this ribosomal RNA (301 nucleotides) under uncultured bacterium. RNAcentral describes it as "partial 16S ribosomal RNA". It matches the Rfam family "Bacterial small subunit ribosomal RNA", at positions 509 to 807 of the family's 1533-position model. The record is from RNAcentral.
CAGCCGCCACGGGAAUACGGAGGGAGCUAGCGUUGUUCGGAAUUACUGGGCGUAAAGCGCACGUAGGCGGUUAUUCAAGUCAGAGGUGAAAGCCCGGGGCUCAACCCCGGAACUGCCUUUGAAACUAGAUGACUGGAAUCUUGGAGAGGUCAGUGGAAUUCCGAGUGUAGAGGUGAAAUUCGUAGAUAUUCGGAAGAACACCAGUGGCGAAGGCGACUGACUGGACAAGUAUUGACGCUGAGGUGCGAAAGCGUGGGGAGCAAACAGGAUUAGAUACCCGUGUAGUCCCUGUCUCUUAUAC